GGACCCGCACAAGUAGUGGAGCAUGUGGUUUAAUUCGAAGAUACGCGCAGAACCUUACCAACACUUGACAUGUUCGUCGCGACUUUAAGAGAUUAAAGUUUUCGGUUCGGCCGGACGAAACACAGGUGCUGCAUGGCUGUCGUCAGCUCGUGUCGUGAGAUGUUGGUUAAGUCCCGCAACGAGCGCAACCCUCACUUUUAGUUGCCAUCAUUAAGUUGGGCACUCUGAAAGAACUGCCAGUGAUAAGCUGGAGGAAGGUGGGGAUGACGUCAAGUCCUCAUGGCCCUUACGUGUUGGGCUACACACGUGCUACAAUGGCGCAUACAGAGGGCAGCAAGCUAGCGAUAGUAAG
RNAcentral lists this ribosomal RNA (352 nucleotides) under uncultured bacterium. RNAcentral describes it as "bacterial SSU rRNA". It matches the Rfam family "Bacterial small subunit ribosomal RNA", at positions 917 to 1267 of the family's 1533-position model. The record is from RNAcentral.